CGCCUGUUUAUCAAAAACAUCGCCUCUUGCACUACACAUAAGAGGUCCAGCCUGCCCAGUGACAUUGUUCAACGGCCGCGGUAUCCUAACCGUGCGAAGGUAGCGUAAUCACUUGUUCUUUAAAUAAGGACUAGUAUGAAUGGCAUCACGAGGGUUAUACUGUCUCCUCUUCCUAAUCAGUGAAACUAAUCUCCCCGUGAAGAAGCGGGGGUAAUAUUAUAAGACGAGAAGACCCUAUGGAGCUUUAGAUUAAACGACACUUGUUUGCAUUAAUUUUAAAUUCCAGAAAAACAUACCCACUUAACAAGAUAAUCGUCAAUCUUAGGUUGGGGUGACCACGGAGCACAAAACAACCUCCAUGUUGAACGACAUUUACUGUCUUAUUCACGAGCAACCACUCUAAAAAUCAAUAUACUGACAUCUAUUGACCCAAUUUUUGAUCAACGAACCAAGUUACCCUAGGGAUAACAGCGCAAUCCUCUUCAAGAGCUCCUAUCGACAAGUGGGUUUACGACCUCGAUGUUGGAUCAGGGUAUCCAAGUGGUGCAGCCGCUACUAAAGGUUCGUUUG
RNAcentral lists this ribosomal RNA (570 nucleotides) under Pseudopaludicola canga. Its description in RNAcentral is "partial 16S large subunit ribosomal RNA". It matches the Rfam family "Bacterial large subunit ribosomal RNA", at positions 1797 to 2579 of the family's 2925-position model. Lineage: Eukaryota; Metazoa; Chordata; Amphibia; Anura; Leptodactylidae. The record is from RNAcentral.